AUGAGUGAGAGAGUGUAUAUAUCCUCCGGUGAGUGGCUUCCGUGCUAUGCUUGUGAAGUGAGCAGUCUUUUUGCUGUCCACCUUUCUUUCGUUGUCUGUUCGACCUUGGAAACUACACUGUGUUCCGAAGAUUAAAACCCUAUACUACUACUUCCUAAUCUAAUUACAUGCAACCAUCUUAUAAAUUACCCACUUCUGAUCUCUUUCUUUCUCCAAUUUCUAUUUCGUUUAAUUUAUAUGCUUAAUAAAUUCUAUAUACAUACAUUAUACAUUUAUACAUACAGUAACUAUCUUGGCUUUAAUUAGUUAAUUGUGAAGGACUGGUAGUUGGUACCAAACACUCUACUUUUAUCGUAUCAUCAUCAUAUCAUACAACUUUAAUUCGUAACUUGAAACCUGAUAUAUUUUUUGGGGUGACGAGGGAAACCCCCUUUGGCCAUCACCUUAAUUGGAUAAACCCAGUCUUAUACACUAGCCGGCAAAAGACUAAAAGAGGUAAAUCAACUUAGGUAGCUUAUAGUUAAUAGGUUCGAACCAAGAAGACUAAGAUUUGAACUUGUGACCUUGCGGUUACAAGUUUGUAUCCUUACCGAUCUUGGCUAGAGUUACCAAGAAACUUGAUAUUUUUGAUUCAUGGGUCUCUUUAUGCUUUAUGCACCACAAAAAAAUAAUAAUAAUAAUAAAAAUAAAAAUGGUUCCAUUGUUGCCGGAGGGAGGGUCCAAAUUUUGGUUGCAUUGCCCUCAAUCAUUUAGGUGAUAAUAUCAUAUCAUAUCAUUUAGGGAAUAU
Molecule: long non-coding RNA, 787 nt
Organism: Ipomoea nil (Japanese morning glory)
Lineage: Eukaryota; Viridiplantae; Streptophyta; Magnoliopsida; Solanales; Convolvulaceae
Exons: 3
Source: RefSeq, a predicted model, not a curated record